GCCAGGCGCAGUGGCUCAUGCCUAUAGUCCCAGCUACUUGGGAGGCUGAGGUGGGAGGACUUACUUGAGUCCAGGAGUUCCGGGCUGUAGCAUGCUAUGCCUAUCGGGUAUCUGCACUAAGUGUGGCAUCAAUAUGGUGACCUGCCGGGCACAGGGGACCACCAGGUUGCCUAAGGAAGGGUGGACCAGCCCAGGUCAGAAACAAAGCUGGUCAAAACUCCCGUGGUGAUCAGUAGUGGGAUCACACCUGUGAAAAGACACUGCACUCCAGCCUGGGCAACAUAGUGAGACCCCAUCUCU
RNAcentral lists this signal recognition particle RNA (300 nucleotides) under Saimiri boliviensis boliviensis (Bolivian squirrel monkey). Its description in RNAcentral is "Metazoan signal recognition particle RNA (ENSSBOG00000002302.1)". It matches the Rfam family "Metazoan signal recognition particle RNA". Rfam says of the family: The signal recognition particle (SRP) is a universally conserved ribonucleoprotein. It is involved in the co-translational targeting of proteins to membranes. The record is from RNAcentral. Lineage: Eukaryota; Metazoa; Chordata; Mammalia; Primates; Cebidae.